GCUAAUUAUUGUAAAUGGUAUCUUAAGGAAUUAAGUCAGCGUUGCAUGCAGGAUUAGCGGGAAGGAAGGACAAAUGGAACCCCAGCCAUGCAUGCAUGCGAGCUCCGGUGAGAGAUCAAUUCCGCCCAUUAAAUUAUGUUGCUCCCAUGAGAUUUUUUCUUCUAAAAUCCCAAAUGGAUUUUCUAAAUUUUACGUGAAUGAACCCCAGACGGAUUUGUGGGCGAUAUGUUUGAAUCUCCAAGAAGCUUCAACGAGGGGCGCUGGUGCAUGCGUUCGGGUUGAAUCUCCAAGAAGCUUCACCGACUUCCCAUUGGUAAGUCCAAUUUAUUUUGUGUUUCAACCUUCUUCCUAUAGCACUUGUGCUUGAUAAUGAUGUUGUACACAAAAUGGCUUAUGAGAUAUCUGGAUAAUGUGUAUACAAAUGAUUUUUGGUUAAUAAUUUGUAUGAUUCAUUUGGCAAAAAAAUAUUCUUGUUCUUUGUGGAGCUUUAUACAGCAGUUCUGUCAUCAUAGCCUUUUCAAGUCUGUACAUCUACAUGGAAAGGUUCGCCUACAAACUAGGGUUCACUUGGGUUAAAAAAAGUAUAUUUUACACACACAAAAUGCUUGAAGUUCAAUUACUGAUUCUUAGUAAGUACACUCUAUUUUGGGGAGUGCACAUCUUGCUUAGAAAACAUGGGUAAGUUCAUGAAGAGAAAAAUCAUACGUUGAAAAUCUAGGAAAGCGGUAAUCCAUAGGCCCAUGCCACAGUGCCGAUGCAUACAUGCCUGCUUCUACCCGCAGUUUUACUAGUUGUUUGUUGAACAUUCCAUGGAAUGUUUUUAGAUGCUAAGUGCCAGUGCCACGGUUGAUGGUGGUAUACAUAAAAAACAAUGCAUUGUGGCAGUGUAGCUGAACUAGAGCAUCGAAGGCUAAUUAAUUGUAGUUUCUUGUUGCACAAUAACAGUUUGUGUGCACCAUGUGUGUAAGAAUGUUGUUGCUGGAUGGCCAAAAAAACAGAGCUUAAUUAGUCUCGACAAUACAAUGGUUGGCUGGAGAUUUCUUUUUACUUGUCCAGAGAAAAUUAUAUCUAUACUAUGUGUAUCAGUUUAUGAUAUAAUUUUCAUCAAUUCAUAAUUCUAUCUUCUUAUGAUAUAUAAAAAUAUACUAGUUUGGAUCUUCAUUAGUUUCUCAGUCUUCAGUCUCAUUUUCUUCUUCAGUACGUCUUGUCCCUAUGUCAUUCUCAGUAAUUGUUUAGUAUUAGCUAUUCUGGUUAUCAUUCAGAGAUAAGAGGUGAGUGUUUGGUGUUUCACUCCAUCUAGCGGGGAGGCGCCUCGGCCGCUGUCCGAUGGACCGUCUGGUCUGCCGCCUUCUCCGUCCGAUGGGCAGCAAACCUCUUGGCUGCUCUGCGGUGGUUCCUCUUGUCGUCCCUCCGCAUGGCCGUAUUGUGCUGAUGCUGCUGCAGCUGCUGCAUAUUUGCGCUGGGCUUGCAGUUUCCUCAUUGCACUGCUUGAUUUCUUAUGUGAUGCCGCAGACAGAAAGUUUCUGAGUACGUGAUGCAUCGAUGGACGCACCCCAAGCGGCCAAACACGACGUGUUUUGUCCUGUGCGCAGAAGCUUUGGAGGCGAUGUGUUGCCCUUAGUACUUUCUCGACAAAUCCAGCAGUGUUGUUUCAUAUAGAACUUGAAAUUACCUAUCUGCCAUGGGGAUGUACUGCCCUCAGCCCUCUCUCAGCAAAACUAGCAGUGCAGGUUCUCUGGUAUACAUCUUAAUAAGUUUUAACAUGUACAUCUUUUCAGUACAAAUUUUUAAGAAGUUUCUUUCUGAACUUCUCACAAUUAAUAUACAUGAACUUGAUUAUCUUUUUAACAUGUACUAAUAUCAGCUUCGUUGGAUUUUUGUGCGUGUGUUUGUAACACAAUCAGUUCAGAUCUCGAGAGACCGUAAGUUCAAUUACCACUGAGCAUCCAAAAUGGAUACAAGAUCAGAACAUGGACAAUCACCAUGCGAGUAAACCCUUUUUGUUCCUUGUGAAGUAUUACCUUUCAAUUAUUGAAACAUCAAGUUUCUUGUAAGUAACUGUUAGUACUAAUGCAAUCAUCUAAUCUUUUUUCUUAUGUCAUUAGCAACUAUUUUUUUGCUUCAGUCAUACAUAAGUAUCUUGAUUCUUGUUUACCUCUUAUUGCAGGAUGAUUCCAUUCUCUGCAAUUUCCAUUAGACAAGUGGGCUAGGUCCAAAGAUCGGGGAACAAUAUGGCGCUCUAUUUGAGGAAGAGGAAUUGAAUAGACACAAAGAGUGUAUAUUUACUUUUCUUGUAAGUAAACCUGCCGCCGAUCCUCCACUGCUCCAUUAAUGCUCCCCUAGCAUGUGCAAGUCCCCUUGUUAUACUCUUUAUUUAUUUCUGUACCAUUAGCAAUGUAAGCACCAAAAUUAGGCUUCCAGUUUGCUAAGUUGCUUUAGUACCAGUAUCAAAAUGUAUAUGUUAUAGCAGUUCCAUUUGUUAAUUGCUAUUGCAGAUUCAGUAAAUGCUGCCUAAUUUGUCUUCUUAGUGUAGUUUUAUUGUGAAGAUUUUUUAAUGCACACCGAAACCAGAUGUCUACUGCUACAUGCGCAUCAUAUGCAUAUUUUUCCAUCGAGAAACCUCAUCAUAUGUAUUUGUCUUCUAACUUUAGAUUUUGAUAAUGCGAAGUUAUAUACGUGUACACAUUUCUAAUUUCUAUUGCUAUUAGUUCAAAUGAUCAAUUGAUAUAAGUUCCCAUGAUAUUGUCCCAUCAGUUCAAGUGAUCAUUGUUGUCUUUGUUUAAGCUGUUCAAGUACAAAAUUAGUAGCAUUGAUCUUUGUGCAGCGAUCAGGACGUUCAGCUCUGCCUCCGCAAGCCGUUCACCCCUGCCACAGGAGGCCGUUCGACGAUGCAGCGCUAUCAUGUUGUGUUUUUUCAGUACAUGUUUUGUGUGCUUUUCAGUUCACCUACUUGAUGAUUCUAUGUCCAAUUUCCCCCCCGUUUAUGUGUUCUUCCUAUAGUAAACUAGGUGUUUGUGUUGUGCCUUAAUAAGCAUUACCUUGUAUGGAUCAAAACUACCAUAUGUUCUUGUAAAUGAAGCUCUGCUUCUGUUUUGUUUGAAGUUAUUUGAUACGUCUCCGUCGUAUUUACUUUUUCAAACACUUUUGCCCGUGUUUUGGACUCUUAACUUGUAUGAUUUGGAUUUUUUUUUCAAAUCUAUGACGCAUUUUAUAGCAAAUUCGAAAACUAUAGCAAAGAAUAGAGAAAAAUCAAAA
Molecule: long non-coding RNA, 3255 nt
Filed under: Triticum aestivum (bread wheat)
Lineage: Eukaryota; Viridiplantae; Streptophyta; Magnoliopsida; Poales; Poaceae
Description: long non-coding RNA (TAES_LNC014835)
Source: RNAcentral